This 449-nucleotide ribosomal RNA is filed under the name uncultured bacterium. Its description in RNAcentral is "partial 16S ribosomal RNA". It matches the Rfam family "Bacterial small subunit ribosomal RNA", at positions 29 to 523 of the family's 1533-position model. The record is from RNAcentral.
AGCGAACGCUGGCGGCAGGCCUAACACAUGCAAGUCGAGCGCCGUAGCAAUUCGGAGCGGCAGACGGGAUAGUAACACGUGGGAACGUGCCCUUUGGUUCGGAAUAACUCAGGGAAACUUGAGCUAAUACCGGAUAAGCCCUUACGGGGAAAGAUUUAUUGCCAUUGGAGCGGCCCGCGUCGGGUUAGCUAGUUGGUGAGGUAAUGGCUCACCAAGGCGACGAUCCGUAGCUGGUCUGAGAGGAUGACCAGCAUCACUGGGACUGAGACACGGCCCAGACUCCUACGGGAGGCAGCAGUGGGGAAUAUUGGACAAUGGGCGCAAGCCUGAUCCAGCCAUGCCGCGUGGAUGAUGAAGGCCCUAGGGUUGUAAAGUCCUUUUAACGGGGAAGAUAAUGACGGUACCCGUAGAAUAAGCCCCGGCUAACUUCGUGCCAGCCGCCGCUGUAA